This 253-nucleotide ribosomal RNA is filed under the name uncultured bacterium. Its description in RNAcentral is "partial 16S ribosomal RNA". It matches the Rfam family "Bacterial small subunit ribosomal RNA", at positions 524 to 776 of the family's 1533-position model. The record is from RNAcentral.
UACGGAGGGUGCAAGCGUUGUCCGGAAUCAUUGGGCGUAAAGAGUUCGUAGGCGGCAUAUCAAGUCUGGUGUUAAAGGCAGAAGCUCAACUUCUGUAAGGCACUGGAUACUGGUAAGCUAGAAUGUGGUAGAGGUAAAGGGAAUUCCUGGUGUAGCGGUGAAAUGCGUAGAUAUCAGGAGGAACACCGGUGGCGUAAGCGCUUUACUGGGCCAUAAUUGACGCUGAGGAACGAAAGCCGGGGGAGCAAAUGGG